UACAGAGGGUGCGAGCGUUGUCCGGAAUCACUGGGCGUAAAGGGUGCGUAGGCGGGUCUUUAAGUCAGGGGUGAAAUCCUGGAGCUUAACUCCAGAACUGCCUUUGAUACUGAAGAUCUUGAGUUCGGGAGAGGUGAGUGGAACUGCGAGUGUAGAGGUGAAAUGCGUAGAGAUCCGGAGGAACACCAGUGGCGAAGGCGACACGCUGGGCCAUACCUGACGCUAAAGCGCGACAGCAUGGGGAGCAAACGGG
RNAcentral lists this ribosomal RNA (253 nucleotides) under uncultured bacterium. RNAcentral describes it as "partial 16S ribosomal RNA". It matches the Rfam family "Bacterial small subunit ribosomal RNA", at positions 524 to 776 of the family's 1533-position model. The record is from RNAcentral.